UGAAUUUUGAUAGAAACAAAUGUUUAAGAUAAAUUGAUUAAAACAUAGUUAACAUAUCUUAUUGAUAAUUAUCUUAAGCAUAUAGAAUCUAACUAAAUUGACUUGAACUAUCUUGGUUAAUGAAUCUAUCUCUUUAGUUCAAAUGAUAUGUGCUUGCUUAUAUUUAGGCAAUCUCUUGAGUAAAGUGACUCAACAUGCAACUAUUGUCAUAUCUCAUAUUGAGUCAUCUAUUAAAAAAUAUAUAUAUGUUGGAUGAAUGCUUUGUAUCUUAAAGAAACUAAUGACCUUCCUUCAAGAAAGAAAAAUGAGAAAUUUCAACUUGAAGGAUAUCUUCAUGAAAGAUACACUAAACAUUCACAUGCAAACAAGAGAGAGGAUCUUCUUCAGCCAAAAGUUCACACAUAAGAAAUCUAGUUUGGCUUGAAGAACAUAUAAUGAAUAGGUAAUUUAGAUACCUUUCUCACAAAUUAGUUGAGCAAAGUCAGUAACUUAAAUCUUAUUAUGGAAUGAUUAAAAUUUUUUGAUAUCAUGUCUAUAUGUGUAUUGACUGACUUAUACUUUUAGAAAUUAUUUCAUGGUUUGCCCAAACUAAAAUAUAUCUUUGCCUAUGUCAUAACCAUGAAAUACACAAGUAUAUGCUUAAAAUUUUGAUGUCAAAUAA
This 661-nucleotide long non-coding RNA is filed under the name Phoenix dactylifera (date palm). RNAcentral describes it as "long non-coding RNA (PDAC_LNC018245)". The record is from RNAcentral. Lineage: Eukaryota; Viridiplantae; Streptophyta; Magnoliopsida; Arecales; Arecaceae.